GUGCGAUUGCUGCCUCGUUUGUUGGAAUUGCAACUUCACGGUUGCCCGAAGCUGAGGGAUAUCCCGCAACAGCUUGGAAAGGACACCGUCUACUUGAAGGAGCUCAAUUUAAGAGGACUGAACAACUUGAAGGCCGUGGAGGAUCGUCCAAUGCUCUGUGAGGUCCUUAUUUUUGGGGAUUGUGAAGGCCUGGAGAGGAUCCGCAACCUCCCUCAAGUGACAGACCUGCAAGUACGUGGUUGUCUGAACUUAAGCCGUGUAGAGGGGCUGGGCAGCUUGCAGCAGCUGUCGCUGGGCGAGGAUAUGCAAGAGGUCUCUUCCUGCUCGGUGCCUGGGCUUCAACAGCAGCACCGACAACUUCAUCGCGAAGACCUUGAUGUUUACACGUGGUUCAGAAGUUAG
RNAcentral lists this ribosomal RNA (402 nucleotides) under Triticum aestivum (bread wheat). Its description in RNAcentral is "partial small subunit ribosomal RNA". The record is from RNAcentral. Lineage: Eukaryota; Viridiplantae; Streptophyta; Magnoliopsida; Poales; Poaceae.